CGCUCGUUAUAAUAUUUGUUUACAAUAAUUUCCGUAUGUACUUUACUUUAAUUACAACUGCCGACGUGAAUGCCGAAGGGUGCCGAAGUAAUUGCCGAAGGAAUUUAAGGUGAUUUCAUUGCGUGCCCCGGCAAAAAAUAUUGCCGAGGCAUUGCCGAGGCAAACUCGAAAAUUAUCGAAAGACUUCGGCAAUUAUUUGCCGAGGCAAAAAUAGUUGAAUUUCGAGGGUUGACUUUAAACAAUGAAUCUAUCGUAUCCAAACCUUUGCAUAUCCAGUCAAUAGCUUCAUGACCUCCAGUAUUCUUCAGUGUAAACAGUGCUCUAAACUUAUCAGCUAAAGUGCUAA
This is a non-coding RNA of Paramuricea clavata, 346 nucleotides long. NCBI's taxonomy places the organism in Eukaryota, Metazoa, Cnidaria, Anthozoa, Malacalcyonacea, Plexauridae. The record is from the annotation of a GenBank genome assembly.